CCUACGGGUGGCAGCAGUGGGGAAUAUUGCACAAUGGGCGAAAGCCUGAUGCAGCGACGCCGCGUGUGGGAAGACGGUCCUCGGGUUUGUAAGCCCCUUUCCCCAGGGACGAAGAUGUCGGUACCUUGGGAUGAAGCUCCGGCUAACUACGUGCAAGCAGCCGCGGUAAUACGGGGGGCGCGAGCGUCGUCCGGAAUUACGGGGUUUAAGGGGAGCGUAGGGGGAGGGGAAAGUUGGGUGUAAAGACUACCGGCUAAACUGGUAGUCGCACUCCAAACUGGAGCUCUGGAGUGAAGUAGAGGCAGGCGGAAUUCCUGGUGUAGCGGUGAAAUGCGUAGAUAUUAGGAGGAACACCAGUGGCGAAGGCGGCCUGCUGGGC
This 379-nucleotide ribosomal RNA is filed under the name uncultured bacterium. Its description in RNAcentral is "partial 16S ribosomal RNA". It matches the Rfam family "Bacterial small subunit ribosomal RNA", at positions 338 to 734 of the family's 1533-position model. The record is from RNAcentral.